RNAcentral lists this unclassified non-coding RNA (234 nucleotides) under plant metagenome. RNAcentral describes it as "partial contains small subunit ribosomal RNA, internal transcribed spacer 1, and 5.8S ribosomal RNA". The record is from RNAcentral.
UUUCCGUAGGUGAACCUGCGGAAGGAUCAUUAAAGUUAUAGUCCCCCGGCCCUCUGGGCUGGGGUCUUCUAUACCACCCUUUGUUUAUUACACCUUUGUUGCUUUGGCAGGCCUGCCCUCGGGCUGCUGGCUCCGGCCGGCUCGCGUCUGCCAGAGGACCUAAACUCUGUUUGUGUAUGAAGUCUGAGUACUAUAUAAUAGUUGAAACUUUCAACAACGGAUCUCUUGGUUCUG